Zophobas morio is the source of this 939-nucleotide long non-coding RNA. RefSeq lists it as uncharacterized. Lineage: Eukaryota; Metazoa; Arthropoda; Insecta; Coleoptera; Tenebrionidae. The transcript is spliced from 2 exons. The record is from RefSeq and is a predicted model, not a curated record.
GACUGCAUGCCUAUUAUGUUUUUUUUUCUCAUUACAUUUUUGUAGUGGGAAUUUAAAAAAAAAUUGUGAUGACGUCAUCAACAUUUUUGCAAGGACACGUUGAUACGAUUUUGGUUGAUUUUGUUUGUAUACAUGAAAUUGGCCCGUUAGUUGACAGCUCUCAUUGAUUCGGGGUAUCGAUAUUUUCCCCUCCCUCAAUCGAUUUGGGUAUUUCAGACCGCGCAUGCCACAGAAAGGAAAAAAAAACCAGGAGGGACUCCAUUUUGAUUUUUCGAGUCGUUGGGAACGGGUGCAAGUGUUUUCAGGGUAUCCAGUGCGAAGGGGCCAUUUUUGGAGGUAGAGCCCUUAUUUUAGCCAGUUGUGGCAUUACUCUUCUCCAAAUUGCGUUAGAGACGAUUUGAGGCCACCGCAUUUGGGAACGAGGACGUGUGUCCUGUGUUUUUGAGACCCCCGAAAAUUCACUUUAAGGCCGCACACCAUCAGAGGCCUUUUUCUUUUUUUUUCUUUUUCGCAUUACUUUUACCAUUGGGUUUUUUUUCCCUCCUCGUUUCUACGUGUUACCAUCUUUUUGCGCUCUUGGUGUGGAAAGGUUUUUCUGUGUGAAGUUUGGACGAAGGUCAACUAGCCGCCCCGCCCCACCCCAUUUUCUAAGUGAGGACGCCGUGCUGAACUCCGGAAAGAAGGAGAGGCGUUAGUUAUAGGGUAUUAGGUAUUAUUUUAUUUUCUUGUACUUUUUUUUUAUUAUUUAAGUAUAUUCGCGUUCGGCAUUUUCGCCACCGCCAGGAACGGCACUGUUGCGGUACGGACGCGAAGUACUCAUAAGGUUAGGAUAGUAAUUUAUUUAAGUUUUUUUUUAUAUUUAGAUCGAUAGUUUGUACUCAGUCACACAGUCACUCACCUCCCCCGUUCUAAAUAAAUUUAAUUAAUUGUAGGCUCCAA